GGUCAGUCACCGAAAUCGACAGGUAAGGCUGCGACGAGGAAGAUCUAGGGCUAUGGGAAGACCCCGACGAACUUCUCUGAGCGGUAAUCAUGGCCUAAUUUCUCACUGGAAUCAAUAGGACAUAAAUCAGCGGGCUGUUUCUUUCUUAUCCGAUAAGUAAAUCGGAGGGGAGUGAAUUGAUGGCUCUGGCUAACGUCCGAGAAACGCCGGAGUGAGCUGUUCCGGCGAAUAAAAGGCAGAGAGCAACCGCAGGUCCUUCGUCAACUGUGAGUCGCGUACACGCAGCGUGCACUUCAAUGAGACAGAAGAGAGAUUGGUUAAAGCUGUGACAUGUAAC
This 337-nucleotide unclassified non-coding RNA is filed under the name Hevea brasiliensis (rubber tree). The record is from RNAcentral. Lineage: Eukaryota; Viridiplantae; Streptophyta; Magnoliopsida; Malpighiales; Euphorbiaceae.